Molecule: ribosomal RNA, 750 nt
Filed under: Guptibacillus hwajinpoensis
Lineage: Bacteria; Bacillati; Bacillota; Bacilli; Caryophanales; Guptibacillaceae
Description: bacterial SSU rRNA
Rfam family: Bacterial small subunit ribosomal RNA
Source: RNAcentral
UAAAGCGCGCGCAGGCGGUCUUUUAAGUCUGAUGUGAAAGCCCACGGCUCAACCGUGGAGGGUCAUUGGAAACUGGAGGACUUGAGUGCAGAAGAGGAGAGUGGAAUUCCACGUGUAGCGGUGAAAUGCGUAGAUAUGUGGAGGAACACCAGUGGCGAAGGCGGCUCUCUGGUCUGUAACUGACGCUGAGGCGCGAAAGCGUGGGGAGCAAACAGGAUUAGAUACCCUGGUAGUCCACGCCGUAAACGAUGAGUGCUAGGUGUUGGGGGGUUCCACCCUCAGUGCUGAAGUUAACACAUUAAGCACUCCGCCUGGGGAGUACGACCGCAAGGUUGAAACUCAAAGGAAUUGACGGGGGCCCGCACAAGCAGUGGAGCAUGUGGUUUAAUUCGAAGCAACGCGAAGAACCUUACCAGGUCUUGACAUCCUCUGACAAUCCUGGAGACAGGACGUUCCCCUUCGGGGGACAGAGUGACAGGUGGUGCAUGGUUGUCGUCAGCUCGUGUCGUGAGAUGUUGGGUUAAGUCCCGCAACGAGCGCAACCCUUGAUCUUAGUUGCCAGCAUUUAGUUGGGCACUCUAAGGUGACUGCCGGUGACAAACCGGAGGAAGGUGGGGAUGACGUCAAAUCAUCAUGCCCCUUAUGACCUGGGCUACACACGUGCUACAAUGGACGGUACAAAGGGCAGCAACACCCCGAGGUGAAGCAAAUCCCAUAAAGCCGUUCUCUGUUCCGAUUUUCAGUUAGUCC